This is a long non-coding RNA of Rhinopithecus bieti (black snub-nosed monkey), 1561 nucleotides long. The record is from Ensembl. NCBI's taxonomy places the organism in Eukaryota, Metazoa, Chordata, Mammalia, Primates, Cercopithecidae.
CUGAAAACUCCCAGCAGCCAGCUAUGUAUGAAAGGUGGGGGCGGGACCACCGGCAGGGUGGGGCCUGAAGAGCCAUAUGCCUGGGCUCCCACAUCACAAUGGGAACGGGGCACGUGGAGCGUACUCUGGGCCUGAUUGGUUCCUGGGAACCAAGACAGAGUUCCCCUUGUUGGCAGGGCAACCUCCUUCAGUUGCUGGGAAGCAGUGGAAGGAGGAGGAGCUCCCUCUGUGCUCUCUUCUCUGCAAUCACAGCUCUGAGCUGGUUCUUUUUUUUUUUCACUGCGGAGAUAUUGCCAAAGCAGGACAUAGAAGAUUCACAUAAAAAGCACAUCUGCGUGGAGAAGGAGUGCCAUGUGACUCAGAUAACGAAGAAUAAGAUAACUCCAGACAAACUUCAUAAAGAACAAACAAAAUCAGCCUUAUCAAGAAAAAGGCAUCUCUUCAUUUGGAGUGACUGGACCUUCACAGCCUGUAUGGCUUCAUCCAAGAGCUUCUGCUCAUCCUGAGGGGACUGCUGCAUUGUAGGCUGAAAAAAUAAAAAAUGCCACUGACGUCUAAAGGACAUUCUUGUAGCAAAUAUGUUAUUUCUAUAGUUCUAGCCAUAGUCCUUCUCCAAGACUGUCACAAAAGGAUCAAUCCAGCUCUAUACCUCAGACCCAUUUACCAAUUAUUGACAGCUGCUGCACACAGAGUCAUGCCCCAUCACUGAAGUUAACAGAGUAAGACUGACAAAGGAGAACAGUAUGUGUACAGAGAAUUGCCUCUCCCUCAGAAACUGACUCAACAUUCUUGUAGUAGGCUGGCAUCAAAGAAACUUGCAGUGGUAGUUCAUGGCUGUGUUCUGCUAACACACUCUGAAUCCAGCCCAGACAUAGCCAUCUGACCAAUCGAAAUCUUGUGAUAGGUAUAGCCGAAACCAGUCUCUAAAGCCUCUCUUUUCCCCUAGACUACUUAUCAUCUGCAUUUCAAUCUAUUCUUAGACAAACUAAGGAACUAGUUUAUGAGAUCACUGACCAUUAAUAUGCACUAUUUACUAUGACAUUUACAUCCUCAUUACUAUAAUUUAUUCCCAAGUAAAUGUCUUUUACUUUAGAGAGUCUUUGUGUGUUUGUUGUUUAGGUUUACACAUGUGGUGUCGUAAAUGGGACCUGAAAAGUUUGCUAUGGGAAGGAACUGGUGAUUCUCGGAGCACAUAAGCAGUCCUCACUUUACACCGCUGAGUGCUCUGCUCCUGUAAGUCACCAUUUCUGCCCUGGUGAAUCUUCCCUCAGGUUAAGGAUCUGUUACUUUGAUACAGGAUUUUUGACAUUGUUGGGAUCUGGUUUGAAUAAGGCUACUUUAAUAAAAGACCAUCUAUCCCUCCUAGGAUAAUAAAAGGGCUUUUGUCUAUUCUGUUAAGACUUUUCUGCUGUCAAGACAAAUAUCUUUCUGGAUUGAGCACUCUUAUUUUGUGCCAAACUUACCUUCUGUCUGUGAAGCAUUUAUUUUCUGGUUUGCACACCUAGUUUAAUAUUUUGCUUGAUUUACAUAUUUUUGUGAACAUUUUAAUCCUGGUUUCCUG